This 1836-nucleotide ribosomal RNA is filed under the name marine metagenome. Its description in RNAcentral is "bacterial LSU rRNA". It matches the Rfam family "Bacterial large subunit ribosomal RNA", at positions 331 to 2024 of the family's 2925-position model. The record is from RNAcentral.
AGACGAAUGGUCUUGAAAGGCCAGUCACAGAGGGUGCCAACCCCGUAGUCGAAAUGCAGCACUAACGUGAAGAGGAUCCCAAGUAUCACGGGGCCCGAGAAAUCCCGUGUGAAUCUGCCAGGACCACCUGGUAAGCCUAAAUACUCCCAGAUGACCGAUAGCGGACAAGUACCGUGAGGGAAAGGUGAAAAGUACCCCGGGAGGGGAGUGAAAUAGAACCUGAAACCGUUUGCUUACAAACCGUUGGAGCCUCCUUGUAGGGGUGACAGCGUGCCUUUUGAAGAAUGAGCCUGCGAGUUAGCGAUAUGUGGCGAGGUUAACCCGUGAGGGGUAGCCGUAGCGAAAGCGAGUCUGAAUAGGGCGAUUCAGUCGCAUGUCCUAGACCCGAAGCGAAGUGAUCUAUCCAUGGCCAGGUUGAAGCGACGGUAAGACGUCGUGGAGGACCGAACCCACUUGGGUUGAAAACCGAGGGGAUGAGCUGUGGAUAGGGGUGAAAGGCCAAUCAAACUUCGUGAUAGCUGGUUCUCUCCGAAAUGCAUUUAGGUGCAGCGUUGCGUGUUUCUUGCCGGAGGUAGAGCUACUGGAUGGCCGAUGGGCCCUAAAAGGUUACUGACGUCAGCCAAACUCCGAAUGCCGGUAAGUAAGAGCGCAGCAGUGAGACGGUGGGGGAUAAGCUUCAUCGUCGAGAGGGAAACAACCCAGACUACCGACUAAGGUCCCAAAGCGUGUGCUAAGUGGAAAAGGAUGUGGAGUUGCAUAGACAACCAGGAGGUUGGCUUAGAAGCAGCCACCCUUGAAAGAGUGCGUAAUAGCUCACUGGUCAAGUGAUUCCGCGCCGACAAUGUAACGGGGCUCAAGCACAUCACCGAAGUCGUAGCAUUUACAUACUAGGUAGGCCUUCGUGGUCCAGCCGUGUAAAUGGGUAGGAGAGCGUCGUGUGGCGAGCGAAGCGGCGGAGUGAUCCAGCCGUGGACGCCACACGAGUGAGAAUGCAGGCAUGAGUAGCGAAAGACGGGUGAGAAACCCGUCCUCCGGAAGACCAAGGGUUCCAGGGCCAGGCUAAUCCGCCCUGGGUAAGUCGGGACCUAAGACGAGGCCGACAGGCGUAGUCGAUGGACAACGGGUUGAUAUUCCCGUACCGGCGAAGAACCGCAAGAGCUAACCCAGUAAUGCUAAGAGUCCGAAUUCUCUUUCUGAUCCCUUCGGGGUGAGGAUUGAGAGCUAGCACUCGACCCUAUGCUGGUGCGGCUAGCGUAUUAACAGGUGUGACGCAGGAAGGUAGCUGAGCCGGGCGAUGGUUGUCCCGGUGUAAGGAUGUAGGGCGAGGAAUAGGCAAAUCCGUUCCUCACAUAAGCCUGAGAUCCGACGCGUACCCCUCACGGGGGAAAUCAGUGAUCCUAUGCUGCCAAGAAAAGCAUCGACGCGAGGUUCUAGCUGCCCGUACCCCAAACCGACUCAGGUGGUCAGGUAGAGAAUACUAAGGAGAUCGAGAGAAUCGUGGUUAAGGAACUCGGCAAAAUGCCCCCGUAACUUCGGGAGAAGGGGGGCCGGACGGGUGAAGGGAUUUACUCCCAGAGCCUAGAAGGCCGCAGAGACCAGUGGGAAGCGACUGUUUACUAAAAACACAGGUCCGUGCUAAGUCGCAAGACGAUGUAUACGGACUGACGCCUGCCCGGUGCUGGAAGGUUAAGAGGAGCGGUUAGCACUUGUGCGAAGCUGUGAAUUUAAGCCCCAGUAAACGGCGGUGGUAACUAUAACCAUCCUAAGGUAGCGAAAUUCCUUGUCGGGUAAGUUCCGACCUGCACGAAUGGCGUAACGACUUCCCCGCUGUCUCCA